RNAcentral lists this ribosomal RNA (161 nucleotides) under Myrtus communis. RNAcentral describes it as "5.8S ribosomal RNA". It matches the Rfam family "5.8S ribosomal RNA". Rfam says of the family: 5.8S ribosomal RNA (5.8S rRNA) is a component of the large subunit of the eukaryotic ribosome. It is transcribed by RNA polymerase I as part of the 45S precursor that also contains 18S and 28S rRNA. Functionally, it is thought that 5.8S rRNA may be involved in ribosome translocation. The record is from RNAcentral. Lineage: Eukaryota; Viridiplantae; Streptophyta; Magnoliopsida; Myrtales; Myrtaceae.
UAACCGACUCUCGGCAACGGAUAUCUCGGCUCUCGCAUCGAUGAAGAACGUAGCGAACUGCGAUACUUGGUGUGAAUUGCAGAAUCCCGUGAACCAUCGAGUCUUUGAACGCAAGUUGCGCCCGAAGCCAUUUGGCCGAGGGCACGUUUGCCUGGGUGUCA